Molecule: ribosomal RNA, 498 nt
Filed under: Triticum aestivum (bread wheat)
Lineage: Eukaryota; Viridiplantae; Streptophyta; Magnoliopsida; Poales; Poaceae
Description: partial small subunit ribosomal RNA
Source: RNAcentral
AUGAUUCGCGCGGUCCUUCAGCUCGCAGUCUCUCGCGCCUGGCCGGUACAUCAGAUGGAUGUGUCGAAUGCGUUCUUGCAUGGCCAUCUCUCGGAGCAGGUCUUCUGUCAGCAGCCUACUGGCUUCGUCGACGCGGCUCGUCCUGACUACGUGUGCUUGCUCUCCUGCUCUUUAUACGGGUUGAAGCAGGCCCCUCGCACUUGGUACCAGCAGAUCGCCGGCUUCCUGCAGCAGCUUGGGUUCCGAGCUACUCACUCCGACGCCUCGUUGUUUGUCUACCACCAGGCCCCAGCGACCUCUUACCUGCUCCUCUAUGUCGACGACAUCAUCCUGACGGCUUCCUCGCCGGAGCUUCUUCGCCAGCAUACUGCUCGCCUUAGUGCCGAGUUUGCCAUUAAGACCCUCGGGCCGUUGCACUACUUCCUCGGCAUUGAGGUGGUACGAUGUGCCGACGAGUUCUUUCUUCACCAGCAGCAGUAUGCGCAGGACCUUCUUUAG